This 455-nucleotide ribosomal RNA is filed under the name uncultured bacterium. RNAcentral describes it as "bacterial SSU rRNA". It matches the Rfam family "Bacterial small subunit ribosomal RNA", at positions 340 to 786 of the family's 1533-position model. The record is from RNAcentral.
UACGGAAGGCAGCAGUGGGGAAUAUUGCACAAUGGGCGAAAGCCUGAUGCAGCUAUGCCGCGUGUAUGAAGAAGGCCUUAGGGUUGUAAAGUACUUUCAUCGGGGAGGAAAAAACAAAACUAAUAAUUUUAUUUCUUGACGUUACCCGAAAAAGAAGCACCGGCUAACUCCGUGCCAGCAGCCGCGGUAAUACGGAGGGUGCUAGCGUUAAUCAGAAUUACUGGGCGUAAAGAGCACGUAGGUGGUUUUUUUAAGUCAGAUGUGAAAUCCCUGGGCUUAACCUAGGAACUGCAUUUUGAAACUGAAAUACUAGAGUAUCGUAGAGGGAGGUAGAAUUCUAGGUGUAGCGGUGAAAUGCGUAGAUAUCUGGAGGAAUACCUGUGGCAAAGCGGCCUCCUAAACGAAUACUGACACUGAGGUGCGAAAGCGUGGGGAGCAAACAGGGAUUAGAUACC